ACCUACUGUUUAAUUUUGAGGGUUCGUUUUUACGAAUACUCAAAAUUAGCACUUUUAGCAACAGAAUAAACUGAACGCAUGUGAAGUUUGUUUGUUGGCGCUGUGCUUUAGCACUUUGAAAACUGCAUAUAUAUUUAGUGAUAUGGCAUCUAAUUUGUAAUAUAUAAAGCUGAUAACUUUUUAAAAUUAUCGAAGUUGAUAGCUUCUAAUCUAUCAAACCUUUUUAACUGGUCAA
This 235-nucleotide unclassified non-coding RNA is filed under the name Clostridioides difficile. RNAcentral's name for it is "16S-23S ribosomal RNA intergenic spacer (ISR)". The record is from RNAcentral. Lineage: Bacteria; Bacillati; Bacillota; Clostridia; Peptostreptococcales; Peptostreptococcaceae.